Molecule: ribosomal RNA, 273 nt
Filed under: uncultured Lactobacillus sp.
Lineage: Bacteria; Bacillati; Bacillota; Bacilli; Lactobacillales; Lactobacillaceae
Description: partial 16S ribosomal RNA
Rfam family: Bacterial small subunit ribosomal RNA
Source: RNAcentral
UACUUAGGUGGCAAGCGUUGUCCGGAUUGAUUGGGCGUAAAGCGAGCGCAGGCGGUUUUUUAAGUCUGAUGUGAAAGCCUUCGGCUCAACCGAAGAAGUGCAUCGGAAACUGGGAAACUUGAGUGCAGAAGAGGACAGUGGAACUCCAUGUGUAGCGGUGAAAUGCGUAGAUAUAUGGAAGAACACCAGGGGCGAAGGCGGCUGUCUGGUCUGUAACUGAAGCUGAGGCUCGAAAGUAUGGGUAGCACACAGGAGGCGAAAACCCAGUAGUCC